This is a long non-coding RNA of Dipodomys spectabilis (banner-tailed kangaroo rat), 2526 nucleotides long. RefSeq lists it as uncharacterized. The transcript is spliced from 3 exons. The record is from RefSeq and is a predicted model, not a curated record. NCBI's taxonomy places the organism in Eukaryota, Metazoa, Chordata, Mammalia, Rodentia, Heteromyidae.
AGGACAAACAUAAAAAAUGAAGCAGGUCGGAGAAGAACACAAACCCAUGCUACUACCCUGGAGUCUGUGGAAGGGGAAUGGCAGAGGAGCGCGCAUUGCCCUUCCGCAUGAAGUCUGGGACCGGGCACGAGUGUUGGAGAUGAUGAGGUCCGCAUUGGGAACAAGGGAUGAAACCUGAUGGCGAGAGCAUCUGAAUAACAAAGGAGUCCAUUCUCCGUGUUUGGGGUGUACGUGGUCCCUAGGUCACGUCCUCUUACACCUUACUCCUACAUACAAUUGCAAAUAUGAACGUCUUCAGAGAGGUGGACCUUGACAUCACCAGAAACUACCAAAAGAUUGUAAUACUUCGAUAAGAUAGAAAAAUAACUGCACGAAUGGGUGAAGGAACCAGCAUAGUAAAUGUGAAUAACUUCUGAAAGGGUGAAAAGAAGCGAGAUCAUAAACCCAAGCAAGGACAGGCGUCGCUGGCAGUCUCCAGAACCUGGCUGAAGAGUGAGCCACAGCAGAGCUCCAACGGAUGAGCAAGCAAAGCCUUGCAGGUGCUUCCUUCUUCAUAGGUGGGAAGAAUGGCCGGCUCAGAGUGCCGUUGUGACCCCUUGAGAUCCAUUCUCUGACAAACAGAAGCUAACAUUUUAUUUGUCUUAUGCCCAGCCAGAAUACUGUAGUUUAUGGAAUGACUUCUUGGGGGCGUUCUUAAGGUACUGCCAGUGUUGGAAACGUUACCAUCAACCUUGCCUUCCAAAGGCAAUUGUAUGCCUUCUAACCUUAAACUGUGGUUUGGUUUGCGCAUGGCACCAAACCUGCUCAUGUAAUUAUAGUUGUUGUUGUUUCUCAGUGGAGCUCACAGUGGAGAAACCUUACGUGCAGCCAGUAGAAUGGAAUGUUGGAGUAUUUGAGUAUGUUUUCCACUUGACUGUGACAAAGUAAAUUCACAGGCAAUGCACAUGGGAAGAACUUUGAAGCCCUUCAUUCAAUACCACAUAAAGAAACUGAAGAUAAAGGCCUGAUUUCUGCAUAUGUGUGGUAAUUUUAUUACACAUUUACUUUUGCCUUUUAAUGCUUGUGAGAAAGAAUUAAGGGCUCUGACACUUUUAGUACUUUUAAUUUCCAAGAAAGACCUUCAUUCCAUCCUGUUGCUGGAAGUGAGGAUGGGCCUACCUAUUCACAAAUAAGUGAGUUUUUCACCAAAUAAUUCUAAAAGAUUUUCUGCGUAUAUUACUAUAACCAACAUAAAUUAACAGGAAUGAAGAUGCCAAGAGACAAUUGAAGACUGUUUGGGUUUUUCAAAAUGUAAAAUCACAUAUGCCAAUUAACCUUUCUAUGUUUAUAGCACUUUUUGAAUAUUCCAGAACUCCAACCAAAGACUGUAUGGUAUGCCUUUCACAAGUAUCUUUUAUAUGUUAUAUUUAUGAGUACUUGGUUUGAUACCUGCUGAUUUCAGAUAGCAUACAUUUUGGGGUAAGCUACUUUAAAAAUGCAUCAUUUUUAACACUGAAAAGUUGAAGUUACAUGUGUAUAUGAAAUUAUCAAAGUAUAAACUAGGCAUAGUCAUGCAUCGGUGUGUGUGUGUGGGGGGGGGGUGUGCACAGCAAGCUGAAUACCUAGCGUGUUUGACUGAGGUUCUUGCGCCUUUCAACUUCAACAUCCUGAGGUCUGAUCAGCUCCAGCCUGGUGGAGGUGAAGCUCCCUGCGGUCACCCUUCCGCUCACCCUGAGGCGAGGCGCAGCAGGGCUGCAGGUCCAAGACUUGAGGACGUCCUACCCCCGGGACAGCCGUCUUACCAGAGGGUUGGAGGAGUGCUCGGGGUAGCUGAGGAGCAUUUGUAGUAGUUGGGGACUCGCGGGAACGAUCUGGGAUGGUGUGAAAAGGUCAGCUGACGGAGUCUGGGGGCAGCUGGCCCAGGUACAGAGGGAGCUUUUCCACUCCUUCUGCUUCUGCCAACAUGCACGAUCCCGCAGGAAGAGCAGCUCUGACACAGACCUCCGCGCGCUGCCACACUUCGUCCUUGGACGGCUGGAUUAAAUGUUCUUUAUACCGCAGAUGACUUUGUCCUUGGACGGCUGGAUUAAAUGUUCUUUAUACCAUAGAUGACUUCGUCCUGUUGGAUGGCUGGAUUAAAUGUUCUUUAUACUGUAGAUGACUUCAUCCUGUUGGACGGCUGGAUUAAAUGUUCUUUAUACUGUAGAUGAUAGGAAGAAAAAAACCCACCUCCAAACAAAAACAACCCUGUACCUGCAUAUGGCUUCAUGUUUUAAUACAUGCUGCUUCAUCUUAUAAAAUAGUUGUUAGGGUGCCUUUCCCCAUAAACUUGCCGUUCAAGCUAGAGUCCUGUUUCCUGCCAUUGUGCUUUCUAUGAAGUGCCGGUGAUGUAUCGUGCAGUGCUGAGACCUGACCUGGGUUAAGGGGUGCCCAGACUUUGCCCUUGGACCAGCUGGGUGUAUGCAGAUACGGCUUGACGUGAUGGUGUACAGAUGGCCUUGGAAUCUGAAUCAGGAUGACAGGAAGAGGAACAAGAACACAGUCCAG